RNAcentral lists this long non-coding RNA (248 nucleotides) under Prunus persica (peach). Its description in RNAcentral is "long non-coding RNA (PPER_LNC004366)". Lineage: Eukaryota; Viridiplantae; Streptophyta; Magnoliopsida; Rosales; Rosaceae. The record is from RNAcentral.
AAAUAUGUACAGAAAAUUGUAAAAAUGUCCAUACCAUGAGAAUAUGUGAUUUUGGCCCGAAGUUCAAAAUCUAAGGGGAUUGAAUGUCCAUACCAUGAGAAUAUGUGAUUUUGGCCUGAAGUUCAAAAUCUAACAGUGUUGAGAACCUGAAGUUCCAAUAAUUAAAUGGACAACCCUUGAGGUAUUGUUGCAAAUUGUGGUACGCCACAUAUCUCUUUGGCAUAAGAGAAUGAUGAAUUGAGGCUCCC